CCUACGGGAGGCAGCAGUGAGGAAUAUUGGUCAAUGGACGAGAGUCUGAACCAGCCAAGUAGCGUGAAGGAUGACUGCCCUAUGGGUUGUAAACUUCUUUUAUAUGGGAAUAAAAUGUUCCACGUGUGGGCUUUUGUAUGUACCAUAUGAAUAAGGAUCGGCUAACUCCGUGCCAGCAGCCGCGGUAAUACGGAGGAUCCGAGCGUUAUCCGGAUUUAUUGGGUUUAAAGGGAGCGUAGGUGGUUUGUUAAGUCAGUUGUGAAAGUUUGCGGCUCAAACGUAAAAUUGCAGUUGAAACUGGCAGUCUUGAGUACAGUAGAGGUGGGCGGAAUGCGUGGUGUAGCGGUGAAAUGCUUAGAUAUCACGAAGAACUCCGAUUGCGAAGGCAGCUCACUGGACUGCAACUGACACUGAGGCUCGAAAGUGUGGGUAUCAAACAGGAUUAGAUACCCGAGUAGUC
RNAcentral lists this ribosomal RNA (460 nucleotides) under uncultured bacterium. Its description in RNAcentral is "partial 16S ribosomal RNA". It matches the Rfam family "Bacterial small subunit ribosomal RNA", at positions 338 to 795 of the family's 1533-position model. The record is from RNAcentral.